GCGCGCGUAGCUCAGGGGUAGAGUGCUUCGUUGACAUCGAAGAGGUCCAUGGUCCAAAUCCAUGCGCGCGCACUA
This 75-nucleotide transfer RNA is filed under the name Patescibacteria group bacterium. RNAcentral's name for it is "tRNA-Val". It matches the Rfam family "tRNA". From Rfam's summary of the family: Transfer RNA (tRNA) molecules are approximately 80 nucleotides in length. Their secondary structure includes four short double-helical elements and three loops (D, anti-codon, and T loops). The record is from RNAcentral.